Molecule: ribosomal RNA, 253 nt
Filed under: uncultured bacterium
Lineage: Bacteria
Description: partial 16S ribosomal RNA
Rfam family: Bacterial small subunit ribosomal RNA
Source: RNAcentral
UACGGAGGGGGCUAGCGUUGUUCGGAAUUACUGGGCGUAAAGGGCGCGUAGGCGGACCUUCAAGUCAGGGGUGAAAGGCCUGGGCUCAACCCGGGAACUGCCUUUGAAACUGAGGGCCUGGAGACCGAGAGAGGGUAGCGGAAUUGCGAGUGUAGAGGUGAAAUUCGUAGAUAUUGGGAGGAACACCGGUGGCGAAGGCGGCUCACUGGAUCGGUACUGACGCUGAGGCGCGAAAGCGUGGGGAGCAAACAGG